This 496-nucleotide ribosomal RNA is filed under the name uncultured bacterium. RNAcentral's name for it is "partial 16S ribosomal RNA". It matches the Rfam family "Bacterial small subunit ribosomal RNA", at positions 29 to 507 of the family's 1533-position model. The record is from RNAcentral.
AUGAACUCUGGCGGCGUGCCUAAUACAUGCAAGUCGAGCGAACGGACGAGAAGCUUGCUUCUCUGAUGUUAGCGGCGGACGGGUGAGUAACACGUGGAUAACCUACCUAUAAGACUGGGAUAACUUCGGGAAACCGGAGCUAAUACCGGAUAAUAUUUUGAACCGCAUGGUUCAAAAGUGAAAGACGGUCUUGCUGUCACUUAUAGAUGGAUCCGCGCUGCAUUAGCUAGUUGGUAAGGUAACGGCUUACCAAGGCAACGAUGCAUAGCCGACCUGAGAGGGUGAUCGGCCACACUGGAACUGAGACACGGUCCAGACUACUACGGGAGGCAGCAGUAGGGAAUCUUCCGCAAUGGGCGAAAGCCUGACGGAGCAACGCCGCGUGAGUGAUGAAGGUCUUCGGAUCGUAAAACUCUGUUAUUAGGGAAGAACAUAUGUGUAAGUAACUGUGCACAUCUUGACGGUACCUAAUCAGAAAGCCACGGCUAACUACGUG